Maniola jurtina (meadow brown) is the source of this 73-nucleotide long non-coding RNA. RefSeq lists it as uncharacterized. The record is from RefSeq and is a predicted model, not a curated record. The transcript is spliced from 3 exons. NCBI's taxonomy places the organism in Eukaryota, Metazoa, Arthropoda, Insecta, Lepidoptera, Nymphalidae.
ACAUUAAAAAAAACUGUGAAACUAUACAAAGGGUGCAAGGGCGGCCUUAUUGCUAAUGCAAUCUCUUACAGGC